Molecule: small RNA, 38 nt
Filed under: Sinorhizobium meliloti 2011
Lineage: Bacteria; Pseudomonadati; Pseudomonadota; Alphaproteobacteria; Hyphomicrobiales; Rhizobiaceae
Description: putative ncRNA
Source: RNAcentral
AUGCACCGAAACACGAGGUUAUCGGCAGAGUCUUCUAU